CUGGCUCUGGCAACGCGUCUAGAGACUGGGGAGGCCCUCAUAGGACCCUCGGAAGUCUAUAUUCCACAUGUGCGCCACGCAGCUAGUGCUACUGCUGGUGUUCUUACUGACGUUCUCCGAGAAUGCCCAGCCUCAGCCCACUUCUUCCUCAACAGGGGCAGUACCCACUUCUACGGACCUGGGGUCCGGAACGCAGGGCGGGACCUCCCAGUCCUCGGCGGGGACUGCAACUCCCCCAGACGUCCCUGGGAUCUCUACUGAGGGCCCUCCUCUUGUGACCUCCUCGGCAUCUAGAAAUAGAACAGUGGGCCCUACUCUGGUGACCUCCUCUGCUCCUCGGAAUAGAACCGUGGACUUCUUCCCAGUCUUACCGAUCUGUGCCUGUGACUUGACUCUUGGUGCCUGCGACAUAAAUUGCUGCUGCGACAAGGACUGCUAUCUUCUCCAUCCAAGAACAAUUUUCUCCUUCUGCCUUCCUGGCAGCGUAAGGUCUUCAAGCUGGGUAUGUGUAGACAACUCUCUUAUCUUUAGGAGUAAUUCCCCGUUUCCUUCAAGGGUUUUUAUGGAUUCAAAUGGAAUUAGGCAGUUCUGUGUCCAUGUGAACAACUCCAAAUUAAACUAUUUCCAGAAGCUCCAAAAGGUCGAUGCAACCAAUUUCCAGGCCCUGGCUGCAGAGUUUGGAGGUGAAUCAUUCACUUCAGCAUUUCAAACCCAGUUGCCGUCAGCUUUUUACAGGGCUGGCGACCCCAUUCUUACUUACUUCCCUAAGUGGUCUGUAAAAAGCUUGCUGAGACAGCCUACAGGAGUUGUAGCUGGGGGCCUCUGUGCUGACACCAAUCCUGCAGGUUUCCUAGAAAGUAAAAGUACAACCUGCACACGUUUCUUCAAGAACCUGGCAAGUACCUGUACCUCGGAUUCAGCCCUCAAUGCUGCUGCUUACUAUAACUUCACAGUCUUGAAGGUUCCAAGAGGUAUGACUGAUCUGCAGAGUAUGGAGUUCCAGGUUCCUGUAACACUUGUAUCACAGCCUGGUCCUCCUGUGUUGGCUGGAAACAUUUGUCAGAAUGUUGUUUCCCAGGUUACCUAUGAGAUAGAGACCAAUGGGACUUUUGGAAUCCAGAAAGUUUCUGUCAGUUUUAGACAAACCAACCUGACUGUGGAGCCAAGCGCUUCCUUACAACAACAUUUCAUCAUUCGCUUCAAGGCUUUUCAACAGAGAAUAGCUGCUUCUCCUAAAGGUCUGAGAAGUGGGAAUCCUGGCUAUAUUGUUGGGAAGCCACUCUUGGCUCUAACUGGUGAUAUAAAUUACUCAAUGACCCUUUUGCAAAGCCAGGGUAAUGGGAUUUGUUCUGUUAAGAGACAUGAAAUACAAUUUGGAGUGAAUGCAAUAUCUGGAUGCAAGCUCAGGCCAAAGUUGCCAAACUGCAGCCAUUUCCAGCAGGAGAUUUAUCAGACUCUUCAUGGAAGGCAGAGACCAGAGCAUGUUGCCAUCUUUGGUAAUGCUGACCCAGCCCAGAAAGGAGAGUGGACCCGGAUCCUCCAUAGGAGCUGUGGUGUUUCAGCUAUGAACUGUACUUCCUGCUGUUUCAUACCAGUUUCCUUGGAGAUUCAGGUCUUAUGGGCAUUUAUAGGCCUCCAGUCCAAUCCACAAGCUCAUGUGUCAAGAGCCCAAUUCCUAUACCAAUGCCAGUCUAUAGAGGUUACCCAAGAAGUUUCUUUGACAACUCUUGUGAAGUUUGUGGAUAUUACCCAGAAGCCAGAGCCUCCAAGGGGCCAACCCAGAACAGACUGGAAAUUGCCAUUUGACUUCUUUUUCCCCUUCAAAGUGGCAUUCAGCAGAGCAAUAGACUCUCAAAAAGCCUCAGUCUCUCCCAUCCUUAUCCUGUGCGUCUUACUACUUGGAGUUCUCAACUUAGAGAAUAAGUGAAGAAAAGAGAAUAAUCAGAUUUCAGUAUUCCCUAUGGGAAGCUCUGAGGCAGCCUGCUUUUCUUGGCUAAACAGACCCUCACCUGCCUAUGACCAGAAGAGAGCAUUUAGCAUAAUAGAAGACACAACUGAAGGAAUCUUUAUAUAUGAAAGGAGCACAAGGCAAUGGCAGCUUACAAAGGUUCCUGCCUACCUGGCCAAUUCAGAAAUUCUGGCAUACAGAAUAGGAAAUGGUAAUUUCCUAUUACUAUUCUUGAGUUUCUUGAGUGGAGAAGAAUUGGUUGGGAAUUAUGGUAGAGAAUUUGGAAAUCAAGGAAGCAUAAAAAGGGUUUAGGCCUGGAACAGAUUAUGGUAGCCUGGUAAUGGCAAAAUUUUGGUGGAAGAUAGGUCCAAUCUAAUUGAUUUAAACUUUAAGUCCCUUUUACAAAGAAUUGAAUGUAAAGGACAGGAUGUAAUAUAAUACCCCCAAUGAAUUUCUUUGUGGAAGGUGGAAUUGUAAAGUACAGCCCCUCAGUGACCCAAGAGUUUAGUGGGGGAAGACUGACAUGCGACACGGGAGACAUAUUUAUUCAGAGAAGCAGAAAAUCAAUGAGGCCUAAAUAGUGAAGGGCAAGCUUGGAGGCAGUGGUGGGAUUGGAACCGAUGUGGCAGUGUGGGUAAGAGUGGGUGAGAGGAAAGAAGUGAUCCUAGGAGAACAACCAGAGUGAAGUCCCAGGGGUUGGUGUAAAGUGGAGAGUUGGGAGGCUGAAGUGACUGUAGUAGAAACAGUGAAUGGGCAGAACAGAGCUAGUAUAAGCAAGAUGGUAGCUCGUUAUGUGGGGAUUUGAAAGAUAGCCAGAGAGGAUUGGGAGACAGGGUUUUUUUACCCGCAGUAUAUUAAUACUCUGAAAUUACAUUAGCCUUUAAAUAAAGCAUAUACUUAGUUAUAAUCUUG
This is an RNA transcript of Nycticebus coucang (slow loris), 2860 nucleotides long. It is a transcript of the gene named tectonic family member 3, with no coding region annotated. NCBI's taxonomy places the organism in Eukaryota, Metazoa, Chordata, Mammalia, Primates, Lorisidae. The transcript has 15 exons. The record is from RefSeq and is a predicted model, not a curated record.